Molecule: ribosomal RNA, 253 nt
Filed under: uncultured bacterium
Lineage: Bacteria
Description: partial 16S ribosomal RNA
Rfam family: Bacterial small subunit ribosomal RNA
Source: RNAcentral
UACGAAGGGGGCGAGCGUUGUUCGGAAUCACUGGGCGUAAAGGGCGCGUAGGCGGUGGUCCAAGUCAGGCGUGAAAGCCCCGGGCUCAACCCGGGAACCGCGCUUGGGACUGGGCCGCUCGAGUUCGGGAGAGGAUGGUGGAAUUCCCAGUGUAGAGGUGAAAUUCGUAGAUAUUGGGAAGAACACCGGUGGCGAAGGCGGCCAUCUGGACCGACACUGACGCUGAGGCGCGACAGCGUGGGGAGCAAACAGG